AUGCUACACGGUUUCGGUGGCCAAAUUGCAGAUUUCCCCACUACCUACCUAGGGCUGCCGAUCACUCCCAAAAGAUUGCGUCUGGUGCAUUUUCAGGUCCUCAUUGACAGAAUCAAAGUAAGGCUGGCAAGUUGGAAGGGCAAACUGAUGUUCUUGGCGGGCCGACGCGUUUUGGUGCGUUCGGUGUUGUCCGCGCUUCCCACCUUCGUGCUCUCAGUGCUCAAGGUCCCAAAGAAAACGCUAAAGGAGGCUGACAAGACACAGCGCCGCUUCCUCUGGGCCCAGGAGGAGGCUCUGACGGGUGGCAAGUGCAAGGUAGCAUGGAGCUCGGUGUGCUCGCCGAUGGAGAAGGGAGGCCUCGGCGUGCUCGACCUGCAUCGCUUCAGUUUGGCGCUCAGGUUGCGCUAG
Molecule: ribosomal RNA, 408 nt
Filed under: Triticum aestivum (bread wheat)
Lineage: Eukaryota; Viridiplantae; Streptophyta; Magnoliopsida; Poales; Poaceae
Description: partial small subunit ribosomal RNA
Source: RNAcentral